AGGCAAUGGGUAUUGGAUUGGAUAUCUGAAGCCUCGGAGUUCCACCUGAUGAUAUUUGCAGUAGCUAUGUGGCACAUUUGGGACAACAGGAAUUCUUGCCCAAAUGGUGAGGUCUUACCUCAUCCAUUACAUGUAUUUGGAAAGAUUAAAGCUUACAUUGAUUUUAUUUUGUUGAACAAUGUCAGAUCAGAAGAGUCCAAUAGGCGUGAGACCUUGAAGUCAAUCAAGAAAUGGGCUCCGCCACCGGAGGGCCUAAUGUUGAUCAAUGUAGACGCUGCGAUCUUCUCCAGCACUAGGAAAGCUGGGUAUGGCGUUGUCAUGCGUAAUCAUCUUGGGGUUAUGCAAGCUGCUUGUCGAGGCCUUGUUGAUCAUGUGCAAUGCCCCGAAGUUGUUGAAGCAGUGGCUAUCCUCCAGGCGCUCAAACUGGCCGAAAGCAUAGGAGUUCAAUCAUUCGAAGUGGCGUCUGAUUGUCUUUCACUUGUUAACAAACUGCAACAACACGGGCUGGACAGGACUUCAACAGGUGCCAUUGUUCAUGAUAUUAAAUUGAGAGCCAAAAAGUUUGUAUCCUGCACUUUUAAGCAUGUUAGUCGAGUAUGUAAUGAGGCAGCCCAUGUUCUAGCCAGGUCGGCAUAA
This 636-nucleotide ribosomal RNA is filed under the name Triticum aestivum (bread wheat). Its description in RNAcentral is "partial small subunit ribosomal RNA". Lineage: Eukaryota; Viridiplantae; Streptophyta; Magnoliopsida; Poales; Poaceae. The record is from RNAcentral.